This 26-nucleotide non-coding RNA is filed under the name Mus musculus (house mouse). The record is from RNAcentral. Lineage: Eukaryota; Metazoa; Chordata; Mammalia; Rodentia; Muridae.
UGAGUUCAGCUAGGGUGUACUGGAGC